AAUGAACGCUGGCGGCAUGCCUAACACAUGCAAGUCGAACGGGAGCACAGUAAGAGCUUGCUCUUACGGGUGGCGAGUGUCGGACGGGUGAGGAAGGCAUCGAAAUCUACUUUGUCGUGGGUGAUAACGUAGGGAAAUUUACGCUGAUACCGCAUACGACCUACGGGUGUAAGCAGGGGUUCUUCUGACCUUGCGCGAUGGUAUGAGCCGAUGUUGGAUUAGCUAGUUGGCGGGGUAAAGGCCCACCCAGGCUACGAUCCGUAGCUGGUCUGAAGGGGUGAUCAGCCACCCUGGAAGUGAGACACGUCACCCACUCCGACGGUAAGCCACAGUGGGGAAUCUUGCGCAAAGGGGCAAAGCCUGAUCCAGCAAUACCGGGUGGGUGCAGAAGGCCUUCGGGUUGUAAAGCCAUUUUGUUGGGAAAGAAAUAAAGCAGGUUAAUCCCCGGCUGUUAUGACGGUACCGAAAGAAUAAGCACCGGCUAACUUCGUG
This 492-nucleotide ribosomal RNA is filed under the name uncultured bacterium. Its description in RNAcentral is "partial 16S ribosomal RNA". It matches the Rfam family "Bacterial small subunit ribosomal RNA", at positions 29 to 507 of the family's 1533-position model. The record is from RNAcentral.